UCAAGAGCUCUCAAUCUCAUAGAAGAGAUAAGAGGUGAACAUAAACAUUAUCCCAAUGUUCUAUAGUAGUUGAGAGAAGAAAGUGACCUUCCUGGUGGGUGGGGUGGACCAGAGAAGAAUUCAUGGAAGAGGUGGCAUUUGAUUAGGGUUACUUGGAUAAUUAUCCCAUACUGCUCAUUGUCCUCUCUUCUGACCCCCUUAACCACCUGAAACUGGUGCUGGUGCAUCCUUGACCCAAUUCUGAUAUUCUUGCUUGAUGUUGCCUGCUUGGUGUUGGUUGUCCAUAUGCCUGGCAGGGCGUGCUGAUGCCCAGCUGUGUCCAUGCCAGGAUUCCAGAGGAGAACCAGCCACCCAGCAAGCAGGUGAAGCCACUCUUCCGCCACUUCCGCCGGAUAGACUCCUGUCUGCAGACCCGGGUGGCCUUCCGGGGCUCUGAUGAGAUCUUCUGCCGUGUAUACAUGCCUGACCACUCUUAUGUGACCAUACGCAGCCGCCUUUCAGCAUCUGUGCAGGACAUUCUGGGCUCUGUGACGGAGAAACUUCAAUAUUCAGAGGAGCCCACGGGGCGUGAGGAUUCCCUCAUCCUGGUAGCUGUAUCCUCCUCCGGAGAGAAGGUCCUUCUCCAGCCCACUGAGGACUGUGUUUUCACCGCACUGGGCAUCAACAGCCACCUGUUUGCCUGUACUCGGGACAGCUAUGAGGCUCUGGUGCCCCUCCCCGAGGAGAUCCAGGUCUCCCCUGGAGACACAGAGAUCCACCGAGUGGAGCCUGAGGACGUUGCCAACCACCUAACUGCCUUCCACUGGGAGCUGUUCCGAUGUGUGCACGAGCUGGAGUUCGUGGACUACGUGUUCCACGGGGAGCGCGGCCGCCGGGAGACGGCCAACUUGGAGCUGCUGCUGCAGCGCUGCAGCGAGGUCACGCACUGGGUGGCCACCGAAGUGCUGCUCUGCGAGGCCCCGGGCAAGCGCGCGCAGCUGCUCAAGAAGUUCAUCAAGAUCGCGGCCCUCUGCAAGCAGAACCAGGACCUGCUGUCUUUCUACGCCGUGGUCAUGGGGCUGGAUAACGCCGCUGUCAGCCGCCUUCGACUCACCUGGGAGAAGCUGCCAGGGAAAUUCAAGAACUUGUUUCGCAAAUUUGAGAACCUGACGGACCCCUGCAGGAACCACAAAAGCUACCGAGAAGUGAUCUCCAAAAUGAAGCCCCCUGUGAUUCCCUUCGUGCCUCUGAUCCUCAAAGACCUGACUUUCCUGCACGAAGGGAGUAAGACCCUUGUAGAUGGUUUGGUGAACAUCGAGAAGCUGCAUUCAGUGGCCGAAAAAGUGAGGACAAUCCGCAAAUACCGGAGCCGGCCCCUUUGCCUGGACAUGGAGGCAUCCCCCCAUCACCUGCAGACCAAGGCCUAUGUGCGCCAGUUUCAGGUCAUCGACAACCAGAACCUCCUCUUCGAGCUCUCCUACAAGCUGGAGGCAAACAGUCAGUGAGAGUGGAGGCUCCAGUCAGACCCGCCAGAUCCUUGGGCACCUG
This 1527-nucleotide small RNA is filed under the name Pan troglodytes (chimpanzee). Its description in RNAcentral is "retained intron". Lineage: Eukaryota; Metazoa; Chordata; Mammalia; Primates; Hominidae. The record is from RNAcentral.